This 640-nucleotide ribosomal RNA is filed under the name uncultured bacterium. Its description in RNAcentral is "bacterial SSU rRNA". It matches the Rfam family "Bacterial small subunit ribosomal RNA", at positions 8 to 694 of the family's 1533-position model. The record is from RNAcentral.
AGAGUUUGAUCCUGGCUCAGAACGAACGCUGGCGGCAUGCCUAACACAUGCAAGUCGAACGAGAUCUUCGGGUCUAGUGGCGCACGGGUGCGUAACGCGUGGGAAUCUGCCCUUGGGUUCGGAAUAACUUCGGGAAACUGAAGCUAAUACCGGAUGAUGACGUAAGUCCAAAGAUUUAUCGCCCAAGGAUGAGCCCGCGUAGGAUUAGCUAGUUGGUGAGGUAAAGGCUCACCAAGGCGACGAUCCUUAGCUGGUCUGAGAGGAUGAUCAGCCACACUGGGACUGAGACACGGCCCAGACUCCUACGGGAGGCAGCAGUGGGGAAUAUUGGACAAUGGGCGAAAGCCUGAUCCAGCAAUGCCGCGUGAGUGAUGAAGGCCUUAGGGUUGUAAAGCUCUUUUGCCCGGGAUGAUAAUGACAGUACCGGGAGAAUAAGCUCCGGCUAACUCCGUGCCAGCAGCCGCGGUAAUACGGAGGGAGCUAGCGUUGUUCGGAAUUACUGGGCGUAAAGCGCACGUAGGCGGCUUUGUAAGUUAGAGGUGAAAGCCUGGAGCUCAACUCCAGAAUUGCCUUUAAGACUGCAUCGCUUGAAUCCGGGAGAGGUGAGUGGAAUUCCGAGUGUAGCGGUGAAAUGCGUAGA